This 407-nucleotide RNase P RNA is filed under the name Rhodospirillales bacterium 20-60-12. Its description in RNAcentral is "RNase P RNA component class A". It matches the Rfam family "Bacterial RNase P class A". Rfam says of the family: Ribonuclease P (RNase P) is a ubiquitous endoribonuclease, found in archaea, bacteria and eukarya as well as chloroplasts and mitochondria. Lineage: Bacteria; Pseudomonadati; Pseudomonadota; Alphaproteobacteria; Rhodospirillales. The record is from RNAcentral.
UCAGACGGUUGGACGGCCGCUGCCGCUCGCAAGGGUGGUGGAGGAAAGUCCGGGCUCCACGGAAAUACGGUGCCGGCUAACGGCCGGCGGGGGCGACCCCAGGGAAAGUGCCACAGAAACCAAACCACCUUUGCGCCUCGGCCCAAAGGAACGGGUGAAACGGUGCGGUAAAAGCGCACCGCGCUUCUGGUAACAGCGGCGGCAGGGUAAACCCCACCGGGAGCAAGACCGAAUAGGGGCGGCCGGCUGCCUGCGUUCGCGCAGGGCAGCGAGGGUAUUUUCGACCUGUCGCCCGGGUUGGUCGCGCGAGGCACGCGGCAACGCGUGUCCCAGAGGAAUGGCCGUCCAGCGCCAGCGCGUGAGCGUGACGGCGUGGACAGAACCCGGCUUACAGACCGUCUGACAUU